UACGAAGGGGGCUAGCGUUGCUCGGAAUCACUGGGCGUAAAGGGUGCGUCGGCGGGUCUUUAAGUCAGGGGUGAAAUCCUGGAGCUCAACUCCAGAACUGCCUUUGAUACUGAAGAUCUUGAGUUCGGGAGAGGUGAGUGGAACUGCGAGUGUAGAGGUGAAAUUCGUAGAUAUUCGCAAGAACACCAGUGGCGAAGGCGGCUCACUGGCCCGAUACUGACGCUGAGGCACGAAAGCGUGGGGAGCAAACAGG
Molecule: ribosomal RNA, 253 nt
Filed under: uncultured bacterium
Lineage: Bacteria
Description: partial 16S ribosomal RNA
Rfam family: Bacterial small subunit ribosomal RNA
Source: RNAcentral